AAGGAAUGGAGGCAAGUCCAAAGUCAUGUGCUCUUCAGCCUGGAGCUCCAAGAAAGGUUGAAGCAGAAGCUAACAUAUGGCAUCCUGUCAAGUGGAAGAAUGUUGACUCUGGUCUGGCAGAAGCAUGUGGGAGUGACAGCAAAAAUCUAAGGUCAACUCCAUUUAUAGAUAAAAGACCAAGCCUGCAUCCCAGUGGAGUUAGAGAAGAGGCUCCAGGUCUGUGCCCAGAAGAGUGCCUUGUCUUCAAGGGGAACACUGGAGGCAGCAGGCCACUUGGCUUAUCUUAUGGGGAGGAAGAGAAUUGCCCUCACCUAAGUGGUUCUCAGCCUGCUGCUGCUGUUCACGACUGCCGCUCUCAUUCCUCUACUCUGCCAUGUUAUAGAGAUGGUGUCCUUAGGAAGGGAACCCUCUGGGCUGCUCCACAUCCUGACCACUCACUUUUUAUAGUACCAUCUAGGGUCUGUGAAGUGGAUGGAGCAGGAGAGAGCUUUUCCAAAGACUCUCAAGUGUCUUUAGCACAUGGCCUCAAACAUAAAUGUGGGCCAGUAGACAACAGCAUUCCCAACCCAUCCACUAUAGCUCUUGUCUCCUCUCCAGCUCAAAACUGCAGCUGCCUUUGCACCUCAGAAAUGAAGGCAAAUUGCCUCACCCACACUGUUGCUAGGGGAAGAUCAGUGGACGGUUCUGGGGAAAAGACAACAGGGAAGAAGGCCAGCACUGCCCCUGAGGAUUCUUAUCCAUCCAGCCCUGCAG
Molecule: long non-coding RNA, 753 nt
Filed under: Rattus norvegicus (Norway rat)
Lineage: Eukaryota; Metazoa; Chordata; Mammalia; Rodentia; Muridae
Description: long non-coding RNA NONRATT018504
Source: RNAcentral